Molecule: ribosomal RNA, 480 nt
Filed under: Triticum aestivum (bread wheat)
Lineage: Eukaryota; Viridiplantae; Streptophyta; Magnoliopsida; Poales; Poaceae
Description: partial small subunit ribosomal RNA
Source: RNAcentral
AGAUUUCCAGUACUCAGCAGCCUAGCAGUGGUGCUAUUUCUGGAGAUGUUUGCUUGUGUGGACCAGAUUAUGGACAUGGUGGACCGGUUUAAGAUGACAAGGUUGCCAUCGUGGGAAAUGGUGAGCUCAACUGAGGUCGUGUUCUUGACUGGGUUAUCCCUAUUUCCAACCCAUGCUGGAGUGAAUUUAGGGACUGCGUUGAACCAUAUGCCAAGGUACCAGUUGGUGGUGCCUUCGGUCUGGAAGAAGCCGAGCGCGUACCUGCCAUUGCCGGAGAUGAGCUUGUCGUUGACGGCAAGUGAUUGGCCGGCCAAGAUGGUGUCCGUCGCUGCAGAGUUUGCUGGGGUGUGGAUGCAGGAGAGCAGGGUGAAAACAAUUAGGAAGGGCGGCAUGGUGAACGGUGGUGAGGGCGCGCAGACUACUGCAGAAUCGUGUUGUGCAGAGGCUGCAAAUAUAGGCUGGUGCUCAGCUCGGUCAUAG